UACGUAGGGUGCAAGCGUUAAUCGGAAUUACUGGGCGUAAAGCGUGCGCAGGCGGUUUUGUAAGUCUGUCGUGAAAUCCCCGGGCUCAACCUGGGAAUUGCGAUGGAGACUGCAAGGCUAGAAUCUGGCAGAGGGGGGUAGAAUUCCACGUGUAGCAGUGAAAUGCGUAGAGAUGUGGAGGAACACCGAUGGCGAAGGCAGCCCCCUGGGUCAAGAUUGACG
RNAcentral lists this ribosomal RNA (222 nucleotides) under uncultured bacterium. RNAcentral's name for it is "partial 16S ribosomal RNA". It matches the Rfam family "Bacterial small subunit ribosomal RNA", at positions 524 to 745 of the family's 1533-position model. The record is from RNAcentral.